RNAcentral lists this transfer RNA (67 nucleotides) under Marmota monax (woodchuck). RNAcentral describes it as "tRNA.Ala". Lineage: Eukaryota; Metazoa; Chordata; Mammalia; Rodentia; Sciuridae. The record is from RNAcentral.
UGCUGUGGCUCAGUGGCAGAGCACUUGCCUAGCAUGUGUGAGGCACUGGGUUCAAUCCUCAGCACAA